GUGAGGAAUAUUGGUCAAUGGACGAGAGUCUGAACCAGCCAAGUCGCGUGAAGGAAGACGGUUCUAUGAAUUGUAAACUUCUUUUGUGCAGGAAUAAAGUGGGUUACGUGUAACCUUUUGUAUGUACUGUACGAAUAAGGAUCGGCUAACUCCGUGCCAGCAGCCGCGGUAAUACGGAGGAUCCGAGCGUUAUCCGGAUUUAUUGGGUUUAAAGGGUGCGUAGGUGGAUUGAUAAGUCAGCGGUGAAAGUUUGCAGCUUAACUGUAAAAUUGCCGUUGAAACUGUCGGUCUUGAGUGCAAAUGAGGUAGGCGGAAUGUGUUGUGUAGCGGUGAAAUGCUUAGAUAUAACACAGAACUCCGAUUGCGAAGGCAGCUUACUGGGAUGCAACUGACACUGAUGCACGAAAGCAUGGGGAGCAAACAGGAUUAGAUACCCGGGUAGUCC
This 445-nucleotide ribosomal RNA is filed under the name uncultured bacterium. Its description in RNAcentral is "partial 16S ribosomal RNA". It matches the Rfam family "Bacterial small subunit ribosomal RNA", at positions 354 to 796 of the family's 1533-position model. The record is from RNAcentral.